RNAcentral lists this ribosomal RNA (747 nucleotides) under uncultured bacterium. RNAcentral's name for it is "bacterial SSU rRNA". It matches the Rfam family "Bacterial small subunit ribosomal RNA", at positions 48 to 766 of the family's 1533-position model. The record is from RNAcentral.
CGUACGCACUGGCCCAGCUGAUUGAUGGUGCUUGCACCUGAUUGACGAUGGAUCACCAGUGAGUGGCGGACGGGUGAGUAACACGUAGGUAACCUGCCCCGGAGCGGGGGAUAACAUUUGGAAACAGAUGCUAAUACCGCAUAACAACAAAAGCCACACGGCUUUUGUUUGAAAGAUGGCUUUGGCUAUCACUCUGGGAUGGACCUGCGGUGCAUUAGCUAGUUGGUAAGGUAACGGCUUACCAAGGCGAUGAUGCAUAGCCGAGUUGAGAGACUGAUCGGCCACAAUGGAACUGAGACACGGUCCAUACUCCUACGGGAGGCAGCAGUAGGGAAUCUUCCACAAUGGGCGCAAGCCUGAUGGAGCAACACCGCGUGAGUGAAGAAGGGUUUCGGCUCGUAAAGCUCUGUUGUUGGAGAAGAACGUGCGUGAGAGUAACUGUUCACGCAGUGACGGUAUCCAACCAGAAAGUCACGGCUAACUACGUGCCAGCAGCCGCGGUAAUACGUAGGUGGCAAGCGUUAUCCGGAUUUAUUGGGCGUAAAGCGAGCGCAGGCGGUUGCUUAGGUCUGAUGUGAAAGCCUUCGGCUUAACCGAAGAAGUGCAUCGGAAACCGGGCGACUUGAGCGCAGAAGAGGACAGUGGAACUCCAUGUGUAGCGGUGGAAUGCGUAGAUAUAUGGAAGAACACCAGUGGCGAAGGCGGCUGUCUGGUCUGCAACUGACGCUGAGGCUCGAAAGCAUGGGU